This 1383-nucleotide long non-coding RNA is filed under the name Olea europaea subsp. europaea. The record is from RNAcentral. Lineage: Eukaryota; Viridiplantae; Streptophyta; Magnoliopsida; Lamiales; Oleaceae.
AUGUCAUUCAUUAUUCCAACCCAACUCCCAAACACGCCUUACCCAAAAGUUAGAUUGAAGUCGUGUAAACAUAAACAAAAACCCAGACACUCCUCUCUCUCAACCGCGAACCCUAUCCCCAAAUCGUUCCCUUGAAAGUGAUAUUGUAGAGAACCCUACCCCCUAAAUCCAAACUCCAUCAUAAUCAGAGGUAAACCGUGACCACAAAGCUUGGAUUUGCGAAGAUUGACUGUUCAAACGUUGACAUGGAUUGAAGAAAUAGGGGUAAUUCCAUUUUUUUUUCUAACUACGAUGCUAUCAAUCAUUUGGAAUGAAAUUUCAUUCUCUAGAUGACCUUUUAGUGAUAUAGAUACUUGAUGAUGUUAAUUUAUAGCGUUAAACGUGUUUUGUAAUUUUCAUUUAAUGGAUUAUUGAUGAAACGCAUGGAAAGCUGACAGGUUGUGCUAUUCUUUGUUCAAAUGUAUGUUAGGAAUCAAGUGCACUGAGGAGAAUUUCUUUAUUCCAAGUGACUGACUGUGGUUUAUUUUAGACCCUUUAGAUGUUAUAUUGUUUGUCUUCUGGCGAUGAAAAAUUAAAUUUGUUUUGGUUUAUGUGGCAACUGAUAUUAUUCACCAGAUAUAAAUAGCAUAGUAUCUAAUAGCUUCAGUGACUUCAUAAUAAAAGUGUCGUGCUUCUAAUUUUUGGAGGUUUAUAUGUGUAUCGUCUCAAAUGUUUCUUCAUAUUAUGACUGUUGGACCUGUGUUUUUAAGUGAAUCUAUUCUGAGCAUAUAUUGAUUUAAUGUUUGGUGGAUAAACCAGGUUUAUUACAUUCAGAAUAACAGAUAUAAGUGGCAUUGUAGAAGUAUCUUGGACAUCUAGCUUUGUAGAAAUACCUCUUUGAAUUAGUAACUGUAUUUAUCAAAAUUGUCCACAUUUUAACUCUUUGGUGAAUUAUUUUCUACAUAACACGAAUGUUGACAUUCUUCUGUAUCUUUUUGUUGUGUAGGAAAGAAAAAGGGAAUUUCUCACUGUUAUAAAUAGUCGGGACACCAACUGUGGGACUGCCAAAAAAAGUAGUGAUGUCGAAAUUGUGCUUCAAGCUUUCUGAAAUGGAUGGAAGUAGAAAAGAAGACCGAAAACAUAGGUCUGUUAUUCAUUUGGGUCAAUAUGUAAAUGUUGGGGGAAAUACAAUCCUACACCUCUAAUUGCCGAUCUGUCGACUGUGUUCAAACAUUUUGCUGAAAUCCAUAUGCAAGGGAAAGGGAGCUAUGGAAGAGAACGGGAAAAAAAUUGAAGGGAUUUUUUAAUGUAGUCUGUCUAUGUACUUGGUGAGAAUUAGUUUUUUAUUUCAUGUCCAUAACCACGUACGUUGAUUCAGUUCGGCUCAAUUAAUAAGCACGAAAA